This 409-nucleotide long non-coding RNA is filed under the name Rosa chinensis. RNAcentral describes it as "sRNA RchiOBHm_Chr7g0200801". Lineage: Eukaryota; Viridiplantae; Streptophyta; Magnoliopsida; Rosales; Rosaceae. The record is from RNAcentral.
UAUGUUUGAAGAGGAUCAGCCUAGGCCUAGCGCACCAGGUGGACCUGGUCAGGCUCCACGCCCUGCCGCUGGAGUGGCAACUGCCCGUCCAUGAAAAGUCACUGUUUCUGUGGUUCUAUUGUUGAGGAUGAUUAGACUUCUGAGGCUAUUUACUUUGGUUGUUGCCUUGCAUUAUUACCAUUUUGAUUUACAAUGCGUCUUCUUCUCUGGUUAUUACUUCUGUAAUAGUGUCAAUUUAUUUCAUACUAUAUAUAAUUUUGAGUAAGGCUAGAUUUUGCUGACCAUUUUGUAGUAGAUGUAGUAAUAUCAUGAUGAAUUGUGAACAAAUUAUACUGCAUGUAGUUAUUGCAGUAGUAGUAUCUUCUACACUAGCCUUAAAGUAGGUUAGGGUUUAUUGUGCAAAACUUUU